This 396-nucleotide ribosomal RNA is filed under the name uncultured bacterium. RNAcentral describes it as "partial 16S ribosomal RNA". It matches the Rfam family "Bacterial small subunit ribosomal RNA", at positions 523 to 918 of the family's 1533-position model. The record is from RNAcentral.
AUACGUAGGUGGCAAGCGUUGUCCGGAAUUAUUGGGCGUAAAGCGCAUGUAGGCGGUUUGGUAAGUCGGUCGUGAAAAUGCGGGGCUUAACGCCGUAUGGCGAUUGAAACUGCUGAACUUGAGUGCAGGAGAGGAAAGGGAAACUCCCAGUGUAGCGGUGAAAUGCGUAGAUAUUGGGAAGAACACCGGUGGCGAAGGCGCCUUUCUGGACUGUGUCUGACGCUCAGAUGCGAAAGCCAGGGUAGCGAACGGGAUUAGAUACCCCGGUAGUCCUGGCCGUAAACGAUGGGUACUAGGUGUGGGAGGUAUCGACUCCUUCCGUGCCGGAGUUAACGCAAUAAGUACCCCGCCUGGGGAGUACGGCCGCAAGGCUUAAACUCAAAUGAAUUGACGGGG